UGUGUGUGUGUGUGUGUGUGUGUGUGUGCGUGUGUGUGCGCGCGCAUGUGUGUUUUUAUUAGUAUCUCUUGGCGGAGAAGCCAGAUAAUCAUAAUCAUAUUACUGUAUGCUCUGAUGUCAUGUUGGGAUGUUCUUUUUCUAAAACUUUUCCCACUCUGUUCUUUCCCCUCUUCAUCCUCCUUCCUUCACGCUUCACACAAUCGGUUCAAAUUGCUGUAUUAUUUAAUUCUUUGCAUUGUUUAUUUUUCUCUCAUCUUUUGCCCACUCCCUUUUUCCUUUUCUGCCUUUUAUGUAUUUGUGUGUUUUUUCCUUGUGCUCUCUCCCUAUCUCUUUAUCUCUCUUGCUUUCUCUCUCUCUCUCUCUCUCUCUCUCUCUCUCAAUCCUUCUUCCCUCUCUCUCAUACUCCCACACCAUAUCAUCAACCCAUUCCCAGACUGCACAGGCAAGUAAAGUCUUACUGGAGCCAGAGACUCGCUCUCCCCUGCCUUCCUCCUCCUCCUCUUCCUCUCCGCACCCUCAGGGGAUGCCCCCAGGCUCGCCGAAGGCCAAGGGCUCACCGAAGCCCCCCAGCUCACUGAAGGCCAAGGGCUCACCGAAGCCCCCCAGCUCACUGAAGGCCAAGGGCUCGCUGAAGCCUCCUGGCAAAGAUGGCCCUCGCACCAGCUCUGCUCCUGUCCCUCUUGCCGUUCCGGCUCCAGUGGCCGCUCCAGGUCCAGCUGCAGCUCCAGGUCUUCCAGGUCUUCCAGCGGAUCCAGGUCUUCCAGCGGAUCCAGCUCAGGGUGGCAGGUCACGGCAGGGCAGUGCCAGUGCCGGUGGGGGCGGCACCUCCAGCCCUGCCGACAAACGGCGACCCCAUCACAGCACCAAGCGGGCGUCCUCACACUCCCACACACACACAAACACACACUCCCACAAGCCCGCCAACGGAGUGGCGUCUGCCCUGUCCACCCCACAGCAGGCCGCCCCGUCCUCCUCCUCUUCCUCCUCCUCAACCUCCUCGUCUACGGGGCGCAAGCGCAGCAGCAGUAAUGGCAGUCACCACCGCAGGGACGGCAGGUACACCUCACAGCACUGACGGGUGGAGGGUGGCACAGCGCAGGACUGGCAACGGUGGCACAGAGGGUACAACACUGGCAGUGCUCAUCUGGUCUUGGACCAUGUGCGUCUCCUGCCUGACUGUCUCAAGCACUUAUUUAUUCCUCAAGGGGGCGCCCUUCUGGAACGUUCUCUCUGCAGAGCCUUGGUCUCCAUGGAGAUUUCAGUUAUUUAUAUCACAAUAUUGAACUUUCCUGGUGAUGCACUUGAUGACUCUCUUCCUGCUCCGAUGUGAUCUUGUGUUUCUCCUGCAAAGCAUGCUGGGAACCUGGAUGUACUCCUGGUCUUCUCCGGGCGCAUGGAACCCUGGAGCCGAAGGUGUGGAGGAGAGGCUGCUGGAGGAAAGACUGUGCAAAGCACAAGCCUGGUGUCUGGAGUAAAGGUGAUCUCCCUGUGGCCACCUUUAACCAUAUCUCUGUUAUGUUUUAUUGAUUUGUAAUUGAUACAGACUCCAGAACAGGGAACACCAAAAAAUUGAAUAGAUACACAAACACACAGCCCAUGUCGGGCUUUAACUGACAGUUGAGAACAGCAAUAAGUGAACAGUGUUAUGACACUACUCUGCAGGGUAAACCAUAUCUGUUAGGCCACAGGAACAAAACAAACAUACAAAUAAACAAAUGUAUGUUGACAGAUGACUUCUGAAGGGCCUGGGCAACCUCAUGCUUCAGCCUAAACAAGGUCUGACUGUCAUCUUUAUGCAAAUCUACAUCAUGAUCAUUGCAUGCAUGGAUGGAUAUAGAACAUCAGCUGUGGCUUGUCAUACCAUCCUCUCCAACAUUAGUGACACGUGUUUGAGUGCAUGGGACUGAACAAAGGCUUGUUAUUUGUAGAAUACAAAGCUGUGUUUGAAUAUCUGCACUGAACUACCUUCGAUCUCCCAAUCUUCCAUGCGUGAGGACUGGCCACUGCUGUUUCCUCACCUGGUCUUGGUGCACCCAGACCAAAAGUCUUCAAACUCGCACUAAGAUGUGCUUUUGUGUCGUUAGACACGCACUCCUCUCUCUCUGCUUCCCCUUUCCUCUUAACAGGAAGUGAUGUAUAUUGUUCAGACCCCCCCCCCCCCCAGAGCCCCCCAGGAAGAUAUUUCCUCUGAAACACUUACCCAUGAAGCUCUUAAAUGAUCCUCGUACAGCAAUACUAAAUAUGAGACCUUUUUGUUUUGUUCUUGUCCCUCACUUAACCUGACAAAUCACACUUGUACAUUUUUUGGUGGCCGCACACCAUUACAAAGUUGUUAAAGUAUGUAGAUGGGGGAGGGGGGGGGGGGCACUAUAUGGACUAAAAUGACAGUCUGGGGCUCCAUUCUUCUGUAUGCCACUUGUAUGACUUUUUGCCCGAAGCGUUUGCCCACAAUUCCCUUUCAGCCUCAGCAGUAUUUUGCACAGGGAAAUGCAAUGAACCAACUGGAUGACUUGACUGUAGUGGGACCUUUUUAGAGUAUGUACUCUGUGAAUUCUAGUGCACUGCUUCAUGUCGAGCUCGUCACCUUGAUCUCCAACGUAGACGUGUAAAGUCAGUCACACACACACCACACUCUCGCAAGUGUACUUUUUUUGUCCUUGUCUUUUGCCUGCCAUGUUCGUCUUCUAAAAACAUAUGAUUGUGAGUGCAUUUCAGGAAUGCCCCCAACCCUCCCCCCACACUUUUUUUGUUCAUAGUUUCCUAAAGGGCUUGUCAACCAUAUCAGUGGUUCUCAAAAUAAAAUUGAAAAAAAAUAAAAAAACUGAUGUUUUUCGUGGUUAUGAAAAAUUUGAAUAAGGAGAACUGUUUUGGGGUAGUGAGAAGCAAUGAGGCUAUUCUAGACGACGUCAUGCGCUCAGUGUGUGACCGAGAAGAUUAACCACGGCACUUUUUCUUUGAAUUUGGUCUGUGUCCCAAAUGGCAUCCUGCCGUCGUCGCCUACAGCACAUAUUUGCAAUGUAAAAAUGCUGAAUUGAAGUGCUGAAUUGGCAACGUUAUUAUAGUGUGAUCUGUGGGUCACCACUAGAGGGCGGUAUUUCCAACCAAAUACAGGGUAGCAGCUCCUCUGUGGUCACAUCUCCUGGGUGAGCUGUGGAAAACCGGAGGAGCUCAGAGGGGGUGAACACGUCAGAGUGGAUCUGUUCUGCCUGAGACUUACCUUCUGCCUCGCUUCAAACGAUUAGCGAGUUGUCUAGGCUAUAGAAGAAGAAGCGAAACCAGUGCAAGUAACAUUUUACACCAGACAUGUAAAUCCACUUAACUUUCCUCAACUGUCUUUAACGUAAUUCUAUAAUACCUCUGGUUACACUGAUUUUCAUAAAGCAUCUGGGAAAAUGUAUGUUAGUGGUGUGGUGUCUGGUCAUCAUAAAGGAUAUGAGUGUGUGUAUAUGAUAUAUGAGUGUGUUUCACAAAAAUUUCCUUUGCUUUCUCAAAAAAGUCUAUUUCUGCAGAUUUUGAUUUGCAGUCUGCUGUGGCCAUAGAUUACCAUCAUAGCUUUUCCCCUCGUUUAGUCUGUCUGCAGCUGCAUUUGGAGAAAUGAGUUCCCUCUUUCUUUUUUUUUUGUUACUGAAAAUGUCCUUGGGUAUUGUAUGGAGAUGCAGACAUGCUUUUGCAAUUAUAUCAUUAGUGCUGUGAAACGGCAGUGAAAUUAGCUGAAACUGAAACCGCCGUGUUCCCCUGAAUGCCAGUAGCAGAGUCUGGCUUGACUGAAAGAAAGACCCACUUUUUCCCCCCCUAGCUUUCAGACACGAGGCGUUCAGUCGUUUUAAAAUCAACACCUCAGCUCUUUAAACAAAGUAAUUAUGUGUGUUUUAUCCACGAUUGGAGUCAUACAUCAGGUUGAAAUAGUCUUAAGUUUUCUUUAAAACAGGACCUUUUCAGGUUUGGUGGUUUGGGUUUUUGAUAGAUUUGACAUAAAAUUUUGAUCUCGGAAAAUGAAAAGGAAAGAAAGAAAUGACAAUUUUCAAAAAGAAGUGGAAAGGGUGCACGGAGAGGCUAUGGGGUCUGGCUCCCUGAAGGGAAGUUCAAGGAACGCUGAAAGUGAGCACAUUUUUUUUGCUCUCCUAUGCAGACAGGUUUUGGCCUGUUCCUUAAAUCGAGUUAAGGCUCUCCUGAGUGUGCAGUGAGGGGUAACACUGGGCACGGGCCACAUGUGCAAUACGACCCGCAACAACACACUUACACUCCUCUCCACAGACUACACACACACACACACACACUCUGACAGUCACCCAUACACAGUCAUAUACACAUAUACAGAUUACACAUGCAGAAGGGCACACACACAUACAGACUUCCACACACACACAAGCACGUAUGGUAAUGUGUGUAUUGCAGCCAUUAUGGGGUUAUGAGGCUUGGAUGAGAGAGGCAGUGAUGCAUGCCAUGGUGUCCUCUAGAGAGUGAGGAUGACGUUAAACCUUCCGUCGCUCACACGCACACACACACACACACACACACAGCUGGCU
This is a long non-coding RNA of Clupea harengus (Atlantic herring), 4526 nucleotides long. NCBI's taxonomy places the organism in Eukaryota, Metazoa, Chordata, Actinopteri, Clupeiformes, Clupeidae. The record is from Ensembl.